GAUGAACGCUAGCUACAGGCUUAACACAUGCAAGUCGAGGGGUAACGAGAGGAAAGCUUGCUUUCCUUGUCGACGACCGGCGCACGGGUGAGUAACGCGUAUCCAACCUGCCCCCAACUAGGGAAUAACCUUGCGAAAGUAAGACUAAUACCCUAUAAUUUCCUCAGAUGACAUCUGACGAGGAAUAAAGAUUUAUCGGUUGUGGAUGGGGAUGCGUCUGAUUAGCUUGUUGGCGGGGUAACGGCCCACCAAGGCAACGAUCAGUAGGGGUUCUGAGAGGGAGGUCCCCCACAUUGGAACUGAGACACGGUCCAAACUCCUACGGGAGGCAGCGGUGAGGAAUAUUGGUCAAUGGGCGGAAGCCUGAACCAGCCAAGUAGCGUGCAGGAUGACGGCCCUAUGGGUUGUAAACUGCUUUUAUACAGGAAUAAAGUUAGCCACGUGUGGUUAUUUGUAGGUACUGUAUGAAUAAGGACCGGCUAAUUCCGUGCCAGCAGCCGCAGUAA
RNAcentral lists this ribosomal RNA (506 nucleotides) under uncultured bacterium. Its description in RNAcentral is "partial 16S ribosomal RNA". It matches the Rfam family "Bacterial small subunit ribosomal RNA", at positions 28 to 523 of the family's 1533-position model. The record is from RNAcentral.